RNAcentral lists this ribosomal RNA (531 nucleotides) under Furchadaspis zamiae. Its description in RNAcentral is "eukaryotic LSU rRNA". Lineage: Eukaryota; Metazoa; Arthropoda; Insecta; Hemiptera; Diaspididae. The record is from RNAcentral.
AUCUGGGCGGCGGAAUUCAGGAUGAGCGGCGGGCCUCGUGCACGUCCGAUCGUUUGAUAUUUCCGUCGCCGUGGCAGACGUCGCGACCUGUUCGUCGUCGGUCCCUGCUCGGAGGAAUCGCGAUCGAGCUCGUUGUGCGGUGCGUUUCGGCGCGCCGUACGGCGAAGACGCGGAUCUCUGGCCGACGACGGACAGUAAGCAACGGUGUCCGAUGCCGUGUCUCGCACUCGGCGUCGGUGCCGGUCAGCGACGAUUUCUUCGGGCCUCUUUCCGACCCGUCUUGAAACACGGACCAAGGAGUCUAACAUGCGCGCGAGUCGCGGGGUUUCGAGCGUGCUUCGGUGCGCUCGUCACUUCCGAAACCCGUACGUUGAAGGCGAAAUGAAAGUGAACAGGGAAGAUGGCGUUCCGAGUCCACGUACCGUGAUCGAGUAUCGCGGCCGGACGCCCGCAUUCCCGGGGCGUCUCAAUGGCUCGUCGCGGAUGCGGACGGUCGUCUCUCGGGGCGGCCGUCGGUCUGCGUCGGACCGA